UGUGUUUUAGGAGUUUGGUUCUUUUUACAAAAUCUCUAACAUGCAUUAACACCUAUAUCUUUAUUGCUCGGCCUCAGAUAGUUGUGACUUCUACAUAAGUCCAAUUAUUAUUACUUAACAUAGAGCUAAAUUUGAUUACAAGGCAUACCAUUCUAGUAAGUGAGAUUGUAAGUCUCUCAUUCUUUAUGGAAUUGUGUGAAAACUUGACCUUUUUUCCAUUCAUGAGAGCUAG
RNAcentral lists this long non-coding RNA (232 nucleotides) under Lathyrus oleraceus (garden pea). RNAcentral's name for it is "Pisum sativum (pea) long non-coding RNA (PSAT_LNC011794)". Lineage: Eukaryota; Viridiplantae; Streptophyta; Magnoliopsida; Fabales; Fabaceae. The record is from RNAcentral.